AAACAAGACUCAUGUUGUAACCGAUCGAUCGAAUACAACAACUUUUCAAGAAACAAACCGUAAUUACUUUAACAAAGAAAGUGUAUCCAUCAAACAAAUUUCAUUUCAUGUUGAUGAAUUUCAUUUCAUUUCAUUUACGUAGGGUUAUUAUAAUCCCCAUAUGAAUCCAUUACAUGGAUAAAGAAAUCAAGAAAAAGAUGAGCUUAAGCUAAGGCACAACAAAAAGAAGGAUAUAUAUAUAUGUAAUCCUAUAUAUCGUUUAUUUUAUACUUCUUCCUUUCGAUCGACUUCAUCGGCGUAGCCAUCUUACUUUUUCUUCCUUUUUUCGACUUCAUCUGGGGAACUUUCUUCCAUCUAAGGGAAAAAAGAAAAGAAAAGAAAAUUGAGACAAAAGAAAGAAGGGGAUCAUACAUAAUGAGAAAGGUAGGUAAUAUAAUGAACUUAAUUUCUUAAUUAUCUCAUUGUCACGGACUUAGAGUCUCACUAAUGCUCCAUGCGUCACUUGACAACUUACUCACGAAUCCUUCACGAUCUUGUAAGCUCAAGUAAGCCCUUUGAAACUAAGAUCGCUAAGAGAAUGAAAAGGAAGACUUAGAGAAAUUUAGAAGAAGGCUUAUAUUGCUUAUAAGAAAGCUUUACAAGUUGUUGGAUUGCUUGGUCUCAA
This 664-nucleotide long non-coding RNA is filed under the name Solanum tuberosum (potato). RNAcentral's name for it is "long non-coding RNA (STUB_LNC004128)". Lineage: Eukaryota; Viridiplantae; Streptophyta; Magnoliopsida; Solanales; Solanaceae. The record is from RNAcentral.